Pelobates cultripes (western spadefoot toad) is the source of this 376-nucleotide non-coding RNA. NCBI's taxonomy places the organism in Eukaryota, Metazoa, Chordata, Amphibia, Anura, Pelobatidae. The record is from the annotation of a GenBank genome assembly.
CCAGCAACAUCGCUCCUUCAAAAGUUAUCGGGGUCUUCCCCCAGAUAGCCGCCAAAAGUGAGGACCUGUCCUGCAGGUAUUGGAAUCGGAGGAUGAGAUCAGGUGUCAUGUCCUGCGGGGCCCCUGCUGGCCUGGAGAGGUGGAACAUGCCAUCCAGUUUCAUGGCUUUGGCCUGUUUAGGCGGGAGGAAGGAUUCCAUGAACCACCGUAUGAAAUGAGGUAGGUCUGUAAUCCCCUGUGAUUCUGGUACUCCCCUUAUCUUGAGGUUGUAUCGCCUCCGGUGCUCUUCCAGUGCAUUAAUUCUGCCGUUGGUCUGCUGUAGUUUGUGUUGUAGGUUUUCCAGACCCUGUUCUACCGCAGUCAGCCUGGUGGUGUG